RNAcentral lists this transfer RNA (84 nucleotides) under Echinostoma caproni. It matches the Rfam family "tRNA". From Rfam's summary of the family: Transfer RNA (tRNA) molecules are approximately 80 nucleotides in length. Their secondary structure includes four short double-helical elements and three loops (D, anti-codon, and T loops). Lineage: Eukaryota; Metazoa; Platyhelminthes; Trematoda; Plagiorchiida; Echinostomatidae. The record is from Rfam by way of RNAcentral.
GACCUCGUAGUUCAGCUGGUAGAGCGUGCGCUGUACAAAAGUGUGGGCGGCGUCCAUGCGUGGGUUUGAAUCCCACCGAGGCUA